Molecule: ribosomal RNA, 1023 nt
Filed under: Acinetobacter calcoaceticus
Lineage: Bacteria; Pseudomonadati; Pseudomonadota; Gammaproteobacteria; Moraxellales; Moraxellaceae
Description: bacterial SSU rRNA
Rfam family: Bacterial small subunit ribosomal RNA
Source: RNAcentral
GCGUGUGUGAAGAAGGCCUUAUGGUUGUAAAGCACUUUAAGCGAGGAGGAGGCUACUUUAGUUAAUACCUAGAGAUAGUGGACGUUACUCGCAGAAUAAGCACCGGCUAACUCUGUGCCAGCAGCCGCGGUAAUACAGAGGGUGCAAGCGUUAAUCGGAUUUACUGGGCGUAAAGCGCGCGUAGGCGGCUAAUUAAGUCAAAUGUGAAAUCCCCGAGCUUAACUUGGGAAUUGCAUUCGAUACUGGUUAGCUAGAGUGUGGGAGAGGAUGGUAGAAUUCCAGGUGUAGCGGUGAAAUGCGUAGAGAUCUGGAGGAAUACCGAUGGCGAAGGCAGCCAUCUGGCCUAACACUGACGCUGAGGUGCGAAAGCAUGGGGAGCAAACAGGAUUAGAUACCCUGGUAGUCCAUGCCGUAAACGAUGUCUACUAGCCGUUGGGGCCUUUGAGGCUUUAGUGGCGCAGCUAACGCGAUAAGUAGACCGCCUGGGGAGUACGGUCGCAAGACUAAAACUCAAAUGAAUUGACGGGGGCCCGCACAAGCGGUGGAGCAUGUGGUUUAAUUCGAUGCAACGCGAAGAACCUUACCUGGCCUUGACAUAGUAAGAACUUUCCAGAGAUGGAUUGGUGCCUUCGGGAACUUACAUACAGGUGCUGCAUGGCUGUCGUCAGCUCGUGUCGUGAGAUGUUGGGUUAAGUCCCGCAACGAGCGCAACCCUUUUCCUUAUUUGCCAGCGAGUAAUGUCGGGAACUUUAAGGAUACUGCCAGUGACAAACUGGAGGAAGGCGGGGACGACGUCAAGUCAUCAUGGCCCUUACGGCCAGGGCUACACACGUGCUACAAUGGUCGGUACAAAGGGUUGCUACACAGCGAUGUGAUGCUAAUCUCAAAAAGCCGAUCGUAGUCCGGAUUGGAGUCUGCAACUCGACUCCAUGAAGUCGGAAUCGCUAGUAAUCGCGGAUCAGAAUGCCGCGGUDAAUACGUUCCCGGGCCUUGUACACACCGCCCGUCACACCAUGGGAGUUU